GGGGAAUAUUGCACAAUGGGGGGAACCCUGAUGCAGCGACGCCGCGUGGAGGAAGAAGGUCUUCGGAUUGUAAACUCCUGUUGUUGAGGAAGAUAAUGACGGUACUCAACAAGAAAGCACCGGCUAACUACGUGCCAGCAGCCGCGGUAAAACGUAGGGUGCAAGCGUUGUCCGGAAUUACUGGGUGUAAAGGGAGCGCAGGCGGGAAGACAAGUUGGAAGUGAAAACCAUGGGCUCAACCCAUGAAUUGCUUUCAAAACUGUUUUUCUUGAGUAGUGCAGAGGUAGAUGGAAUUCCCGGUGUGGCGGUGGAAUGCGUAGAUAUCGGGAGGAACACCAGUGGCGAAGGCGGUCUACUGGGCACCAACUGACGCUGAGGCUCGAAAGCAUGGGUAGCAAACAGGAUUAGAUACCCUGGUAGUCCAUGCCGUAAACGAUGAUUACUAGGUGUUGGGGGAUUGACCCCCUCAGUGCCGCAGUUAACACAAUAAGUAAUCCACCUGGGGAGUACGACCGCAAGGUUGAAACUCAAAGGAAUUGACGGGGGCCCGCACAAGCAGUGGAGUAUGUGGUUUAAUUCGAAGCAACGCGAAGAACCUUACCAGGUCUUGACAUCCGAUGCAUAACACAGAGAUGUGUGAAAUCCUUCGGGACAUCGAGACAGGUGGUGCAUGGUUGUCGUCAGCUCGUGUCGUGAGAUGUUGGGUUAAGUCCCGCAACGAGCGCAACCCUUAUUGCCAGUUACUACGUUAAGAGGACUCUGGCGAGACUGCCGUUGACAAACCGGAGGAAGGUGGGGAUGACGUCAAAUCAUCAUGCCCCUUAUGACUUGGGCUACACACGUACUACAAUGGCGUUAAACAAAGAGAAGCAAGACCGCGAGGUGGAGCAAAACUCAGAAACAACGUCCCAGUUCGGACUGCAGGCUGCAACUCGCCUGCACGAAGUCGGAAUUGCUAGUAAUCGCAGAUCAGCAUGCUGCGGUGAAUACGUUCCCG
RNAcentral lists this ribosomal RNA (997 nucleotides) under uncultured bacterium. Its description in RNAcentral is "bacterial SSU rRNA". It matches the Rfam family "Bacterial small subunit ribosomal RNA", at positions 356 to 1376 of the family's 1533-position model. The record is from RNAcentral.